AACGAACGCUUGCGGCGCGCCUAAUACAUGCAAGUCGAGCGAGAAAGUACUACGGUAUGAGUAAAGCGGCGGACGGGUGAGGAACACGUAGAGAAUCUGCCUUAAAGAGGGGGAUAACUAAUCGAAAGAUUAGCUAAUACUGCAUAAGACCACAGGGGCUGCGGCUCGAGGGGUAAAAGGAGUAAUCCACUUUAAGAUGAGUCUGCUUCCGAUUAGCUAGUUGGUGAGGUAAUGGCUCACCAAGCCAACGAUCGGUAACUGGUCUGAGAGGAUGACCAGUCACACUGGAACUGAGACACGGUCCAGACUCCUACGGGAGGCAGCAGUAGGGAAUAUUGCACAAUGGAGGAAACUCUGAUGCAGCGACGCCGCGUGAGUGAUGAAGGCCUUCGGGUUGUAAAACUCUGUGAUAAGGGAAGAUGAUGACGGUACCUUAUCAGAAAAGACCGGCUAACUUCGUGCCAGCCGCCGCUAAUAC
RNAcentral lists this ribosomal RNA (478 nucleotides) under uncultured bacterium. RNAcentral describes it as "bacterial SSU rRNA". It matches the Rfam family "Bacterial small subunit ribosomal RNA", at positions 29 to 526 of the family's 1533-position model. The record is from RNAcentral.